This 26-nucleotide non-coding RNA is filed under the name Mus musculus (house mouse). The record is from RNAcentral. Lineage: Eukaryota; Metazoa; Chordata; Mammalia; Rodentia; Muridae.
UAUGAACUAACCUUUCCACCUUCCCU